RNAcentral lists this microRNA precursor (167 nucleotides) under Pelobates cultripes (western spadefoot toad). Lineage: Eukaryota; Metazoa; Chordata; Amphibia; Anura; Pelobatidae. The record is from RNAcentral.
GCAGACACAUUCCAGCCAAUCAGCAGCAGACUCUCCCUCCCAGACCCUCCCACCUCCUGGACAGCAUCCAUUUUACAUUCAUUGUGAAGCUGCAUUCUUAGUGAGCUGUCCAGGAGGUGGGAGGGUCUGGGAGGGAGGGUCUGCUGCUGAUUGGCUCUAACUAGCCU